ACAGGACUUCGGUCCGCUGACGAGUGGCGCACGGGUGAGUAACGCGUGGGUUACCUGCCCAUAAGUGGGGAACAACUUGGAGAAAUCCAAGCUAAUACCGCAUAAUACCUUCGGGUUAAAGAGGGGGAUCUUCGGACCUCUCGCUUAUGGAUGGUCCCGCGUCUGAUUAGCUAGUUGGUAGGGUAAUGGCCUACCAAGGCAAUGAUCAGUAGCUGGUCUGAGAGGAUGAUCAGUCACACUGGAACUGGGACACGGUCCAGACUCCUACGGGAGGCAGCAGUGGGGAAUUUUGCACAAUGGGCGAAAGCCUGAUGCAGCGACGCCGCGUGCGGGAAGAAGGCCUUCGGGUUGUAAACCGCUUUCAACAGGGAAGAAGGAAUGAGAGCUAAUACCUCUCUGCCUUGACGGUACCUGUAGAAGAAGCACCGGCUAAUUUCGUGCCAGCAGCCGCGGUAAUACGAAAGGUGCAAGCGUUGUUCGGAUUUACUGGGCGUAAAGAGAUCGUAGGUGGCUUGUUAAGUCGGAUGUGAAAUCCCGGGGCUCAACCCCGGAACUGCAUCCGAUACUGGCAGGCUUGAGUUUGGGAGGGGUAAGCGGAAUUCCGUGUGUAGCAGUGAAAUGCGUAGAUAUACGGAGGAACACCUGAGGCGAAGGCGGCUUACUGGACCAAUACUGACACUGAGGAUCGAAAGCGUGGGUAGCAAACAGGAUUAGAUACCCUGGUAGUCCACGCCCUAAACGAUGUCAACUAGCCGUUGCGGGUAUCGACCCCUGCAGUGGCGCAGCUAACGCGAUAAGUUGACCGCCUGGGGGGAGUACGGUCGCAGAUUAAAACUCAAAG
This 841-nucleotide ribosomal RNA is filed under the name uncultured bacterium. Its description in RNAcentral is "bacterial SSU rRNA". It matches the Rfam family "Bacterial small subunit ribosomal RNA", at positions 72 to 906 of the family's 1533-position model. The record is from RNAcentral.